Molecule: long non-coding RNA, 485 nt
Organism: Passer montanus (Eurasian tree sparrow)
Lineage: Eukaryota; Metazoa; Chordata; Aves; Passeriformes; Passeridae
Exons: 5
Source: RefSeq, a predicted model, not a curated record
CUUUCCUUACUGCAUUUCUUCCAGUGGAUGAGAGGAGAAAUGAACUAAAACUUCCAGCAGAAGUUCAAAACAGGACUGAAGUUUCAUCCUUUUUUGCAGGGUUCCAGGUCCAGCUCUGCCUGUAUCUUUGUGUUCUUCUGGGGAAUGCUGGACUCCCAUGCCAGCCACUGUCAUCACACAAAUAUCACUUUCCCCUGGGCUUUCUGAAGUACCUUGUGCCUUGGAGCAUUCAGUCUGACUGGGCUUUCCAAAGGUGGUAAGAGAGACAUAAUUUCCAAGAAAACAUCACUCUUUUCUUCUUUCAUGAAAACAAGGUACUUGGGAUUCCUGGGUUCCUCUUCUGACUUAGACAUUGAUUCACUGUCUGGCCUUAGAUAAUGUAAAGGCCCUGCAGACACAUAGAAGCUUAGAAUCAGGGAUUUAUUGCUGGGCGUCCAAAUAAUGUCUGGAUAGACCUUGAAUUCAGAGCUGCUCCUGCAAAUAAG